This 468-nucleotide ribosomal RNA is filed under the name uncultured bacterium. Its description in RNAcentral is "partial 16S ribosomal RNA". It matches the Rfam family "Bacterial small subunit ribosomal RNA", at positions 28 to 507 of the family's 1533-position model. The record is from RNAcentral.
GACGAACGCUGGCGGCGGGCUUAACACAUGCAAGUCGAACGGAAAGGCCCUGCUUGUGUGGGGUGCUCGAGUGGCGAACGGGUGAGUAACACGUGAGUAACCUGCCCUUGACUUUGGGAUAACUUCAGGAAACUGGGGCUAAUACCGGAUAGGAGCUCCUGCUGCAUGGUGGGGGUUGGAAAGUUUCGGCGGUCGGGGAUGGACUCGCGGCUUAUCAGCUUGUUGGUGGGGUAGUGGCUUACCAAGGCUUUGACGGGUAGCCGGCCUGAGAGGGUGACCGGCCACAUUGGGACUGAGAUACGGACCAGACUCCUACGGGAGGCAGCAGUGGGGAAUAUUGCACAAUGGGCGGAAGCCUGAUGCAGCAACGCCGCGUGCGGGAUGACGGCCUUCGGGUUGUAAACCGCUUUCGCCUGUGACGAAGCGUGAGUGACGGUAAUGGGUAAAGAAGCACCGGCUAACUACGUG